CCUACGGGAGGCAGCAGUGGGGAAUAUUGCACAAUGGGCGCAAGCCUGAUGCAGCCAUGCCGCGUGUGUGAAGAAGGCCUUCGGGUUGUAAAGCACUUUCAGCGGGGAGGAAGGCGGUGAGGUUAAUAACCUCAUCGAUUGACGUUACCCGCAGAAGAAGCACCGGCUAACUCCGUGCCAGCAGCCGCGGUAAUACGGAGGGUGCAAGCGUUAAUCGGAAUUACUGGGCGUAAAGCGCACGCAGGCGGUCUGUCAAGUCGGAUGUGAAGUCCCCGGGCUCAACCUGGGAACUGCAUUCGAAACUGGCAGGCUAGAGUCUUGUAGAGGGGGGUAGAAUUCCAGGUGUAGCGGUGAAAUGCGUAGAGAUCUGGAGGAAUACCGGUGGCGAAGGCGGCCCCCUGGACAAAGACUGACGCUCAGGUGCGAUAGCGUGGGGAGCAAACAGGAUUAGAUACCCGUGUAGUC
RNAcentral lists this ribosomal RNA (465 nucleotides) under uncultured Klebsiella sp. RNAcentral's name for it is "bacterial SSU rRNA". It matches the Rfam family "Bacterial small subunit ribosomal RNA", at positions 338 to 795 of the family's 1533-position model. The record is from RNAcentral. Lineage: Bacteria; Pseudomonadati; Pseudomonadota; Gammaproteobacteria; Enterobacterales; Enterobacteriaceae.